This 72-nucleotide transfer RNA is filed under the name Ictidomys tridecemlineatus (thirteen-lined ground squirrel). Its description in RNAcentral is "Spermophilus tridecemlineatus (thirteen-lined ground squirrel) tRNA". It matches the Rfam family "tRNA". Rfam says of the family: Transfer RNA (tRNA) molecules are approximately 80 nucleotides in length. Their secondary structure includes four short double-helical elements and three loops (D, anti-codon, and T loops). Further hydrogen bonds mediate the characteristic L-shaped molecular structure. tRNAs have two regions of fundamental functional importance: the anti-codon, which is responsible for specific mRNA codon recognition, and the 3' end, to which the tRNAs corresponding amino acid is attached (by aminoacyl-tRNA synthetases). tRNAs cope with the degeneracy of the genetic code in two manners: having more than one tRNA (with a specific anti-codon) for a particular amino acid; and 'wobble' base-pairing, i.e. permitting non-standard base-pairing at the 3rd anti-codon position. Lineage: Eukaryota; Metazoa; Chordata; Mammalia; Rodentia; Sciuridae. The record is from Rfam by way of RNAcentral.
UAAGAUGUCGUUCAGUGGUAGGGCACUUGCCCAGCAAGCAAAAGACCCUGGGUUCUAUCUCCAGCAUCCUGA